GCCAAGAGGAGGUGUAAAGCAAAACGGCGAGAAGGAAAGGUGUUUUACUCUCAGUGGCAUGAAACAACAACAGCAGCUCACCAUCUACCACAGCAGAAGCAAGAACUAACCAGGCUGGGUAAACUCAGACACACAGUGUGAGUGCAAAGAUCUGGCCAAUUCCAGGAGCAUUGUAAAUGAGUCUUGAUAAUCCUCCAGACCGGGGAGAGAGGAAAGGAGUCUCCUCUUCAAGGUUGCAGUGGAGCAGGAUUGGCUGGAUCUCAGAGUCGUCGUCCAGGCUGUCUCCUGAGCUCUCCAGCAGCAGUCCCACCCCGUCGUCCAGGAUCUCUUCUGCAAAGAAAACGAUCAUGUAAAGCUCAUGAAUCUCUGUACAGGAUUUUUUUCAUCCUUC
Toxotes jaculatrix (banded archerfish) is the source of this 391-nucleotide long non-coding RNA. RefSeq lists it as uncharacterized. The record is from RefSeq and is a predicted model, not a curated record. Lineage: Eukaryota; Metazoa; Chordata; Actinopteri; Toxotidae. The transcript is spliced from 3 exons.